This 26-nucleotide non-coding RNA is filed under the name Bombyx mori (domestic silkworm). Lineage: Eukaryota; Metazoa; Arthropoda; Insecta; Lepidoptera; Bombycidae. The record is from RNAcentral.
UGUCACGACUUGGUGGAGUGUCACGA